GCCAGCAUAGCAUGAUGGUUUGAGUAUUGGACUAGGUCUCCAGGAGCCAGGGUUCAAAUCCCUGCCCAGCCA
Non-coding RNA from Phrynosoma platyrhinos (Desert horned lizard), 72 nucleotides. The record is from the annotation of a GenBank genome assembly. Lineage: Eukaryota; Metazoa; Chordata; Lepidosauria; Squamata; Phrynosomatidae.